UCGAAUGUGUUGAAACAGCAGCCAUAUGUCGACCAUGCUUUGAAUCGUUUAUGGAAAAGUAUCUCAAGAAUGUAAAGCUAAAUUGGUGCAAAAAAGAUCAACGAAUUGAAACAAGGUGCCCUUUGAUAAUAACUACUUUCAUGAUGUCUCGAAUGGCCGAUGAUAUACAAUCUGCUUUGCAGGACCUAGAGAUCUUUGGUACUGAUUCAGUGAUGUUAGUGGUAAUUCAAAGUUGUUCCCCAACAAUGAAUCCCGCUAGGAUGACAAUGAUGCAGCAUAUUAAGGAUGACAGAAUCACUUCGUGUGUUAAUGUUUUAAUUUGGCAAAAUAAAGUGUAUUCUUGUAAAAUAAACCAGGUAGCGGCAAAUGAAAUGACGCAUUUUCUUUCCAAAAAAUAAAUAGAAUACCCAUACUUCCUCAACUCCCCCAUAGCUUGGAACAUUAGUCAAUUGAAUGUAUGAAAAAUAAUGUUUCAUUUCAUACUAUUUUCAAUAUAUUAUUCAGUACUUGUAAUUUCCAUCUGAGGAAAACAUGUUAACCAAAUUAGCAAUCGUAGCAUUUUUACUCUUUGUAUCUAACAAUUAUUUACCUUUUUUUAAAUAAAGUGCCGAAAACUGC
Molecule: long non-coding RNA, 618 nt
Organism: Ostrea edulis (European flat oyster)
Lineage: Eukaryota; Metazoa; Mollusca; Bivalvia; Ostreida; Ostreidae
Exons: 2
Source: RefSeq, a predicted model, not a curated record